UACGAAGGGUGCAAACGUUGCUCGGAAUCAUUGGGCGUAAAGCGCACGUAGGCGGCCUCAUAAGUCGGAUGUGAAAUCCCGCGGCUCAACCGUGGAAGUGCAUCCGAAACUGCGAGGCUCGAGUAUGGAAGAGGGUCGCAGAAUUCCCGGUGUAGAGGUGAAAUUCGUAGAUAUCGGGAGGAAUACCAGUGGCGAAGGCGGCGACCUGGGCCAAUACUGACGCUGAGGUGCGAAAGCGUGGGGAGCAAACAGG
Molecule: ribosomal RNA, 253 nt
Filed under: uncultured bacterium
Lineage: Bacteria
Description: partial 16S ribosomal RNA
Rfam family: Bacterial small subunit ribosomal RNA
Source: RNAcentral